RNAcentral lists this ribosomal RNA (253 nucleotides) under uncultured bacterium. RNAcentral describes it as "partial 16S ribosomal RNA". It matches the Rfam family "Bacterial small subunit ribosomal RNA", at positions 524 to 776 of the family's 1533-position model. The record is from RNAcentral.
UACGGAGGGUGCAAACGUUGCUCGGAAUCAUUGGGCGUAAAGCGCGCGUAGGCGGCCCGGUAAGUCCGCUGUGAAAGUCAAAGGCUCAACCUUUGAAUGUCAGCGGAUACUGCCGGGCUAGAGUCCGGAAGAGGCGAGUGGAACUCCUGGUGUAGCGGUGGAAUGCGCAGAUAUCAGGAAGAACACCAACGGCGAAGGCAGCUCGCUGGGACGGAACUGACGCUAAGGCGCGAAAGCGUGGGGAGCGAACAGG